UACAGUCUUCGGGACAAGGUGUAAUUCCUGACCGGCAGUAUAGUCUGCGAGCAAAAGCUGAUAUGGUGCAAUUCCAUAACCGACGGUAAAGUCCGGAUGAGAGAAGAUAUGA
Molecule: non-coding RNA, 112 nt
Organism: Clostridiales bacterium 41_12_two_minus
Lineage: Bacteria; Bacillati; Bacillota; Clostridia; Eubacteriales
Source: Rfam